UACGAAGGGGGCUAGCGUUGCUCGGAAUCACUGGGCGUAAAGCGCACGUAGGCGGAUCGUUAAGUCGGAGGUGAAAUCCUGGAGCUCAACUCCAGAACUGCCUUUGAUACUGAAGAUCUUGAGUUCGGGAGAGGUGAGUGGAACUGCGAGUGUAGAGGUGAAAUUCGUAGAUAUUCGCAAGAACACCAGUGGCGAAGGCGGCUCACUGGCCCGGUACUGACGCUGAGGUGCGAAAGCGUGGGGAGCAAACAGG
RNAcentral lists this ribosomal RNA (253 nucleotides) under uncultured bacterium. Its description in RNAcentral is "partial 16S ribosomal RNA". It matches the Rfam family "Bacterial small subunit ribosomal RNA", at positions 524 to 776 of the family's 1533-position model. The record is from RNAcentral.